GACGAACGCUGGCGGCGUGCUUAACACAUGCAAGUCGAACGAUGAACCUCGAAAUGAUUUCUUCGGAAAGAUUUUUGAGAGGAUUAGUGGCGAACGGGUGAGUAACGCGUGAGCAACCUGCCUUAGACAAGGGGAUAGCCUCGGGAAACCGUGAUUAAUACCCUAUGAGACUCCACUUACGAGUGUAAGAGAAGUUAAAGCUAUUGCGGUCUAAGAUGGGCUCGCGUCUGAUUAGCUAGUUGGUGAGAUAAAAGCCCACCAAGGCGACGAUCAGUAACCGGCUUGAGAGAGGGAACGGUCACAUUGGAACUGAGACACGGUCCAAACUCCUACGGGAGGCAGCAGUGGGGAAUAUUGCACAAUGGGGGCAACCCUGAUGCAGCGACGCCGCGUGAGCGAUGAAGGAAUUCGUUUCGUAAAGCUCUGUCCUUGGAGAAGAUAAUGACGGUAACCAAGGAGGAAGCACCGGCUAAAUACGUG
RNAcentral lists this ribosomal RNA (480 nucleotides) under uncultured bacterium. RNAcentral describes it as "partial 16S ribosomal RNA". It matches the Rfam family "Bacterial small subunit ribosomal RNA", at positions 28 to 507 of the family's 1533-position model. The record is from RNAcentral.